Neofelis nebulosa (Clouded leopard) is the source of this 1041-nucleotide long non-coding RNA. RefSeq lists it as uncharacterized. The transcript has 3 exons. The record is from RefSeq and is a predicted model, not a curated record. NCBI's taxonomy places the organism in Eukaryota, Metazoa, Chordata, Mammalia, Carnivora, Felidae.
AGAGACAACAUCUAGGAACAAGUUUCCCUGUCAUGUUGCAGUUUCUGUGGUAGAUUGUGACCCCUUUUUCUUACAGCAGGUCUGUAUGCAGCGGUCCGACCGGCCACGGGAACUGGCUGAAGACCACUCACGUGUUCACGCUGUAUUCUGUGCUCGGAUCCACCUGUCAUGGUGGACACCUUACAGCAACAGGUAUGAAAUUGACCAGCAAGGGCACAAUCGACAAUAAAGAGCCUAAAGAGAGAGUUCCUGGACCUGAGCUGGAAGCGGUGGUGCCCAGAAAGCACACGUGCCAAUUGGACAAUUAGACCAAGAGUAAAUGCCUGACUUCAUGGAAGGGGAGAAGAAGGGCCAGAGAGAAAACAGGAGGCAAGAGGAGGUGGUGAACCAACAACAGAAAACAAGGGGAGGAAAGUACUUCACAUCUCUUCUGAAGAGAUCAUUUUAUUUUCAGUGCUCCCAGAAAUUACAUCAGAACAAUUUUUUUCCUGAAAUAAUAUAUACAGCUAUUAAUAGCAUAGUAUUCCCUAUUAGCUUCCACUCUUACCAGCAUAGGGAAGGCAAUUCCCUCAAUAUUGACUGAGAGCCCGUGUGUUAGGUGCUGAGGUACAAAAUGAAACCAAGGAGUCCUGAGGACUCGGUGGCAGAACCGUGUAAAAUAUGGUUUCUCUGAACAUGACCCCUCUGGUCAGAGGUGGGUCGGCCAGGGCUUUGUCUGUUCAAAGCCAAGCCCAGCCACAUGGGAUAGAGAUCGGAUGUGCUGGGGCGGACCAGGGGCCAAGAUAGCCAGGGAUCUGGCUUUGAAUCACUCUGGUAUUCGAGCUUUUUUCCCCUGAAGAAAAAUGAGAAAAUACUGGUCAUGUGGCUGUUGAGUAUUUUUCAAUAAGCAAGCCUUAUUUUUAUCAUGUUAUGAAAUGCUUGUCCCCGAGAGCUCUCUUUAGGUGCAUGGGAAGUGCUGCGAUACCAGUCGGAUGCCCUCAUGCCGAGAGGCUGGCAUUUUGAUUUUUGUGGGCCCUAAGCACUUUUACCUCUGUCGACCUC